This 423-nucleotide ribosomal RNA is filed under the name uncultured bacterium. RNAcentral describes it as "bacterial SSU rRNA". It matches the Rfam family "Bacterial small subunit ribosomal RNA", at positions 355 to 775 of the family's 1533-position model. The record is from RNAcentral.
UAAGGAAUAUUGGUCAAUGGAGGCAACUCUGAACCAGCCAUGCCGCGUGCAGGAAGACAGCCCUCUGGGUCGUAAACUGCUUUUAUUCGGGAAUAAACCUACUUACGUGUAAGUAGCUGAAUGUACCGAAGGAAUAAGGAUCGGCUAACUCCGUGCCAGCAGCCGCGGUAAUACGGAGGAUCCAAGCGUUAUCCGGAUUUAUUGGGUUUAAAGGGUGCGUAGGCGGCCUGUUAAGUCAGGGGUGAAAGACGGUAGCUCAACUAUCGCAGUGCCCUUGAUACUGAUGGGCUUGAAUACACUAGAGGUAGGCGGAAUGUGACAAGUAGCGGUGAAAUGCAUAGAUAUGUCACAGAACACCGAUUGCGAAGGCAGCUUACUAUGGUGUCAUUGACGCUGAGGCACGAAAGCGUGGGGAUCAAACAG